AGUUUAUAGUAAAUAGUCGUAGGGAACAGACCGAAAUAGAAACAAUUCGCUAAUCGUUAUAAGUUAGUUAAGUAUAGUGUACAGUGUUUAAAAGAAUUAAGAACGUUACCGAAAUUCAAGCAAUAUGGAAAGUAAAAGGUUAGUAGAAGAUUAUUUUCCUAUGACCACUUAUGAAAAUGAUAGAUUGCACUCUCAUUUUUACCUGAGAAAAUAGCUUAUUUCACACAUGUACUGAAAAAUAACAAAACAUACAUGUAUUAAAAUGCCUCUUUUUCUACAACUGCUAUGAAAAGUGACGUCAAUCCAGUACCGUGGCAGAAAGAUACAUCGAAGAGUUUAUUGAAAAUAAAAUUGAAGUUGCUAAUAAAUCAUCAACUCCAAUGAAAACCCACUCGAACCCUUUAUAGAAAUGGAGACAGAAAAUACACCGUAUAUGAACGAUCAACCCUCAACAUCUAAAAUUAACAUAACACAGAAAA
Long non-coding RNA from Diorhabda carinulata, 479 nucleotides. RefSeq lists it as uncharacterized. The record is from RefSeq and is a predicted model, not a curated record. The transcript is spliced from 2 exons. Lineage: Eukaryota; Metazoa; Arthropoda; Insecta; Coleoptera; Chrysomelidae.